This 329-nucleotide unclassified non-coding RNA is filed under the name plant metagenome. Its description in RNAcentral is "partial contains 5.8S ribosomal RNA, internal transcribed spacer 2, and large subunit ribosomal RNA". The stretch from base 1 to 105 matches the Rfam family "5.8S ribosomal RNA", at positions 50 to 154 of the family's 154-position model. The record is from RNAcentral.
GAAAUGCGAUAAGUAGUGUGAAUUGCAGAAUUCAGUGAAUCAUCGAAUCUUUGAACGCACAUUGCGCCCGUCAGCAUUCUGGCGGGCAUGCCUGUUCGAGCGUCAUUUCAACCCUCAGGACCCCCCUUUCGCGGGGAGGGACCUGGCGUUGGGGAUCGGCCCGCCCCCCGCGGCGGCGCCGUCCCCGAAAUCUAGUGGCGGUCUCGCUGCAGCCUCCCCUGCGUAGUAGUUACAACCUCGCAUCGGAGCGCGGCGCGGCCACGCCGUAAAACCCCCGACUUUCUGAACGUUGACCUCGGAUCAGGUAGGAAUACCCGCUGAACUUAAGC